GGGCUUACAGGAGCCGCCGUUAGAACGGAGCGACACAGGUCCCUUCUGUGUUUCCCCAGACUUGCUGACCAGAGAAAUCACCUGGAGUGAUUAUUUUGAAAGAUUCCCAGGCGGCUCCCCUGCUCCGCUGCAGGUGCUUUUGGUCGGUCUGGGGUGGAGCUCAGGAACCUGUUUUAUUUAUUUUUAUUUUUUUUAAGAUUUUAUUUAUUCAUGAGAGGCCCAGGGAGGCAGAGACACAAGCAGAGGGAGAAGCAGGCUCCAUGCAGGGAGCCUGACGUGGGACUCGAUCCCGGGACCCCCGAUCACGCCCCGAGCCAAAGGCAGACACUCAGCCGCAGAACCACCGAGGUGCCCCAGGAACCUGUAUUUUUAAGUAGUUCUCCAGGUGCAACCCUGUGGACUCUUAACUACAGUCAACCCUCAUUAUCAGCUAGUGACCGCCUCCUAAAAGAGAAAGUACAUCUGUUUAGACUUUGA
RNAcentral lists this long non-coding RNA (477 nucleotides) under Canis lupus familiaris (dog). Its description in RNAcentral is "lncRNA (ENSCAFG00845000049.1)". The record is from RNAcentral. Lineage: Eukaryota; Metazoa; Chordata; Mammalia; Carnivora; Canidae.